Acromyrmex echinatior (Panamanian leafcutter ant) is the source of this 1372-nucleotide long non-coding RNA. RefSeq lists it as uncharacterized. Lineage: Eukaryota; Metazoa; Arthropoda; Insecta; Hymenoptera; Formicidae. The record is from RefSeq and is a predicted model, not a curated record.
GCUUGCCCAACAGGCAGAGACAUCGUUUCAUCUGAUGGAUCAUGUUUAACCCGCGGCAGUCUGACGUCGAGUACCGUUCCGCGCGCAACACGUUCUAAUUGCCGACCACAGUAAAAAUAUCAAGUCUUUUCGAAAUUCUCGAAAUAACAAGUCUCGCAGAAAAUUACAUCAACAAAUAAAAAAUAAUUAUGUUAAUAAAAAGUGAUUAUAAAAAAUUCAGACAACUGUUAAAGUGCCUACAACAAGAUUAAACUACUCGUGAGAAAUGCGUAAUAGCAAGUGAAAUGCAUCGUAGAAUUUACAGAUUCCCAUUACUGAUAGAAUAUAUCGGGACCCACCCGGCCAAAGUAUCGAUUUUGUCUUCCGGUUUCUUUGUACAACCCACGACUUUAUGUUACGCAUGAUAUAUGACUUCUCCAAUCCCCGGGGUAUUGUGGUUACCAAGACAACCACCGCAGCACUGGUUAGCAACCGCACAGUCACUUUGACAACGACUUCUAGAGUCGACCCUCCACCAGCUACUAGGAAGUUAUAAACGCCGAGAAAGUCUCUCUCGACGUGAUGGCUACGAAGGAAAAGGAGGAUAAUGCACGCGAGUUUGCGGGUCAUUCGCAUUCGGUCGAGUCGGGUGCUACAGCACGGAGCAGCGUGGAAACGUACCAAUGAACUCCACGCGAAUAGGUUGUCAGGAAUAUGAAAGAGUCUUACGUCUAUCUCCGUAAGCGAACUGUCUCCUACACGAUGAUAGUGCGGUAGUCAUUCGAAUUCGUUUGUCUGCGAAUUUGUGUUAAGUAGACGGCCACACAUAAUGCAGUUAAUUCAUUCGUCGCUUAUUCAAACUGUCUCUAUCAUUCGUUCAAGCGUUGCCUCUUGGUGUCAUCUUGGCGUGGAAGUAGUCCAGCUUCGAGGAAAUAAAAGAGAAGAAACAUACGACAAUUAUCAAAAUAAUCGGAAUAAAUUACAAUUAAUCAGAGCAAACCUUUCCUGGGAUUUCCGAUUUGGUCUAAUGACCCUUUCGCUCUCUAUUUAUAACGCGGUUCUGAUCCACCGCAGCCGAGGUAGAAGAGAGAUGGAAGGAACGGGACGGAACGGGUUGACCGCAGAUUCGCAGGUGAGAGAUCCGCGAUUCGCGGCCCGCGGCGUGUUCGUACGCGCGCGGCUUGCGAGUGCGAGUGCGUGGAAGGAUAGUGGGGCGCAGUGAUGCGCGGAGCGGCCACUCCGCAGCGCUCCCCUUUCAAGAGGAGCACAUAAGAUGGUGGGAGGCAGGUCGACGAAAGUAGAAGCUGCGUUCGGACCACGAAUGGCGCGAACGGUACGAACUGCUCCUCGGCCAUGAUACUAUCCUAUGCCAGGGGGUCCCCAAGAACUGGCC